UACGUAGGGGGCAAGCGUUGUCCGGAAUCAUUGGGCGUAAAGAGCGCGUAGGCGGCCCUGUAAGUCCGCUGUGAAAGUCAAGGGCUCAACCCUUGAAUGCCGGUGGAUACUGCAGGGCUAGAGUCCGGAAGAGGCGAGUGGAAUUCCUGGUGUAGCGGUGAAAUGCGCAGAUAUCAGGAGGAACACCAACGGCGAAAGCACUCUGCUGGGCCGACACUGACACUGAGAGACGAAAGCUAGGGGAGCGAAUGGG
This 253-nucleotide ribosomal RNA is filed under the name uncultured bacterium. Its description in RNAcentral is "partial 16S ribosomal RNA". It matches the Rfam family "Bacterial small subunit ribosomal RNA", at positions 524 to 776 of the family's 1533-position model. The record is from RNAcentral.